UACGAAGGGGGCUAGCGUUGCUCGGAAUCACUGGGCGUAAAGGGUGCGUAGGCGGGUUUUUAAGUCAGAGGUGAAAUCCUGGAGCUCAACUCCAGAACUGCCUUUGAUACUGAAAGUCUUGAGUAUGGGAGAGGUGAGUGGAACUGCGAGUGUAGAGGUGAAAUUCGUAGAUAUUCGCAAGAACACCAGUGGCGAAGGCGGCUCACUGGCCCAUAACUGACGCUGAGACGCGAAAGCCAGGGGAGCAAACGGG
RNAcentral lists this ribosomal RNA (253 nucleotides) under uncultured bacterium. RNAcentral describes it as "partial 16S ribosomal RNA". It matches the Rfam family "Bacterial small subunit ribosomal RNA", at positions 524 to 776 of the family's 1533-position model. The record is from RNAcentral.